This 504-nucleotide ribosomal RNA is filed under the name uncultured bacterium. Its description in RNAcentral is "partial 16S ribosomal RNA". It matches the Rfam family "Bacterial small subunit ribosomal RNA", at positions 30 to 523 of the family's 1533-position model. The record is from RNAcentral.
AUUGAACGCUGGCGGCAGGCCUAACACAUGCAAGUCGGACGGUAGCACAGAGAGCUUGCUCUCGGGUGACGAGUGGCGGACGGGUGAGUAAUGUCUGGGAAACUGCCCGAUGGAGGGGGAUAACUACUGGAAACGGUAGCUAAUACCGCAUAACGUCUUCGGACCAAAGUGGGGGACCUUCGGGCCUCGCACCAUCGGAUGUGCCCAGAUGGGAUUAGCUAGUAGGUGGGGUAAUGGCUCACCUAGGCGACGAUCCCUAGCUGGUCUGAGAGGAUGACCAGCCACACUGGAACUGAGACACGGUCCAGACUCCUACGGGAGGCAGCAGUGGGGAAUAUUGCACAAUGGGCGCAAGCCUGAUGCAGCCAUGCCGCGUGUAUGAAGAAGGCCUUCGGGUUGUAAAGUACUUUCAGCGGGGAGGAAGGCGAUGAGGUUAAUAACCGCAUCGAUUGACGUUACCCGCAGAAGAAGCACCGGCUAACUCCGUGCCAGCCGCCGCAGUAA